Molecule: non-coding RNA, 117 nt
Filed under: Pongo abelii (Sumatran orangutan)
Lineage: Eukaryota; Metazoa; Chordata; Mammalia; Primates; Hominidae
Source: Rfam by way of RNAcentral
GCCGGGCGCGGUGGUUCACGCCUGUAAUCCCAGCACUUUGGGAGGCCGAGGCGGGUGGAUCACCUGAGGUCAGGAGUUCGAGACCAGCCUGACCAAUAUGGUGAGACCCCAUCUCUA